UACGGAGGGGGCAAGCGUUAUUCGGAAUUAUUGGGCGUAAAGGGCGCGUAGGCGGCUAGAUGUGUCAAAGGUGAAAUCCCUCGGCUCAACUGAGGAACUGCCUUUGAAACUGUCUGGCUUGAGGCCGGGAGAGGGUAGCGGAAUUCCCAGUGUAGCGGUGAAAUGCGUAGAUAUUGGGAGGAACACCAGUGGCGAAGGCGGCUCACUGGACUGGUACUGACGCUGAGGCGCGAAAGCGUGGGGAGCAAACGGG
This 253-nucleotide ribosomal RNA is filed under the name uncultured bacterium. RNAcentral describes it as "partial 16S ribosomal RNA". It matches the Rfam family "Bacterial small subunit ribosomal RNA", at positions 524 to 776 of the family's 1533-position model. The record is from RNAcentral.